UAACAUGCACGUGUGUAAACAUGUUCUAUAUAUAACCACGUGCAGUAGAGAGAAACGCGACAUUCAUCCGAACAAGAAGAUGGCGAUCAGAGCCCUUUUGCUGGCACUGCUGAUAAUGAGCAUGUCAACUGUCAUAGUCGGUUGGCCACAGGACGAUAUAUGGUACGUGCCAAAGCCUGAUCAUAAACCUCCACAAUGACAGAUAAAACGGGGCGGCCCAAUCUUUGAGACUGCGGGCGGACUGUUAUCCCCCGGAGCAGUGAGACAUUUCACACAGGGAUGUCAUUUUAAUAUAUUUUAGAAAUAAA
Molecule: long non-coding RNA, 308 nt
Organism: Penaeus chinensis
Lineage: Eukaryota; Metazoa; Arthropoda; Malacostraca; Decapoda; Penaeidae
Exons: 3
Source: RefSeq, a predicted model, not a curated record